GAUGAACGCUGGCGGCGUGCUUAACACAUGCAAGUCGAACGAUGAAGCCCAGCUUGCUGGGUGGGUUAGUGGCGAACGGGUGAGUAACACGUGGGUAACCUGCCCUUAACUCUUGGAUAAGCCUGGGAAACUGGGUCUAAUACCGGAUAGGAGCGCCUACCGCACGGUGGGGGUUGGAAAGAUUUUUCGGUUUUGGAUGGACUCGCGGCCUAUCAGCUUGUUGGUGAGGUAAUGGCUCACCAAGGCGACGACGGGUAGCCGGCCUGAGAGGGUGACCGGCCACACUGGGACUGAGACACGGCCCAGACUCCUACGGGAGGCAGCAGUGGGGAAUAUUGCACAAUGGGCGAAAGCCUGAUGCAGCGACGCCGCGUGAGGGAUGACGGCCUUCGGGUUGUAAACCUCUUUCAGUAGGGAAGAAGCGAAAGUGACGGUACCUGCAGAAGAAGCACCGGCUAACUACGUG
This 466-nucleotide ribosomal RNA is filed under the name uncultured bacterium. Its description in RNAcentral is "partial 16S ribosomal RNA". It matches the Rfam family "Bacterial small subunit ribosomal RNA", at positions 28 to 507 of the family's 1533-position model. The record is from RNAcentral.